Non-coding RNA from Myotis brandtii (Brandt's bat), 75 nucleotides. NCBI's taxonomy places the organism in Eukaryota, Metazoa, Chordata, Mammalia, Chiroptera, Vespertilionidae. The record is from Rfam.
UGCGGUUCUCAGGUGAUGCACCUGGAACCAGAGAAGAGGGAGCCUGAUUCCAGGGUGUGUCACCUGGGAACCGCU